UGCCAGCAGCCGCGGUAACACGGGGGGCGCAAGCGUUAUUCGGAAUUAUUGGGCGUAAAGGGCGCGCAGGCGGUCUUGUCGGUCAGAUGUGAAAGCCCGGGGCUUAACCCCGGAACUGCCCUCAAAACUGUCGAUCUAGAGACCGGGAGAGGUAAGCGGAAUUCCUAGUGUAGAGGUGAAAUUCGUAGAUAUUAGGAAGAACACCAGUGGCGAAGGCGGCUUACUGGACCGGUACUGACGCUGAGGCACGAAAGCGUGGGGAGCGAACAGGAUUAGAUA
RNAcentral lists this ribosomal RNA (279 nucleotides) under uncultured bacterium. Its description in RNAcentral is "partial 16S ribosomal RNA". It matches the Rfam family "Bacterial small subunit ribosomal RNA", at positions 506 to 784 of the family's 1533-position model. The record is from RNAcentral.